RNAcentral lists this ribosomal RNA (103 nucleotides) under Burkholderiaceae bacterium. RNAcentral describes it as "partial 16S ribosomal RNA". It matches the Rfam family "Bacterial small subunit ribosomal RNA", at positions 1 to 102 of the family's 1533-position model. The record is from RNAcentral. Lineage: Bacteria; Pseudomonadati; Pseudomonadota; Betaproteobacteria; Burkholderiales; Burkholderiaceae.
GAACUAUAGAGUUUGAUCCUGGCUCAGAUUGAACGCUGGCGGCAUGCCUUACACAUGCAAGUCGAACGGCAGCACGGGAGCAAUCCUGGUGGCGAGUGGCGAA